This 420-nucleotide ribosomal RNA is filed under the name uncultured bacterium. Its description in RNAcentral is "partial 16S ribosomal RNA". It matches the Rfam family "Bacterial small subunit ribosomal RNA", at positions 361 to 773 of the family's 1533-position model. The record is from RNAcentral.
AUAUUGGACAAUGGGGGAAACCCUAAUCCAGCCAUGCCGCGUAUGUGAAGAAGGAAAUCGGAUGGUACCACAAUUUAAGUUAGAAGGAAGGGCUUUCGGAUACUACCCUGAAGAUUUGACGUAACCAACAGAUUAUGCACCGUCUAACUACGUGACAGCAGCCGCGGUAAUACAGAGGGUGCAAGCGUUAAUCGGAAUUACUGGGCGUAAAGCGCGCGUAGGUGGUUCAGUAAGAUGGGUGUGAAAUCCCCGGGCUUAACCUGGGAACUGCUUUCAUAACUGCUGAGCUAGAGUACGGUAGAGGGUAGUGGAAUUUCCUGUGUAGCGGUGAAAUGCGUAGAUAUAGGAAGGAACACCGGUGGCGAAGGCGACUACCUGGACUGAUACUGACACUGAGGUGCGAAAGCGUGGGGAGCAAAC